AUUUGACGUUAGCUGCAGAAGAAGCACCGGCUAACUCCGUGCCAGCAGCCGCGGUAAUACGGAGGGUGCGAGCGUUAAUCGGAAUUACUGGGCGUAAAGCGCAUGCAGGUGGUUUGUUAAGUCAGAUGUGAAAGCCCGGGGCUCAACCUCGGAAUAGCAUUUGAAACUGGCAGACUAGAGUACUGUAGAGGGGGGUAGAAUUUCAGGUGUAGCGGUGAAAUGCGUAGAGAUCUGAAGGAAUACCGGUGGCGAAGGCGGCCCCCUGGACAGAUACUGACACUCAGAUGCGAAAGCGUGGGGAGCAAACAGGAUUAGAUACCCUGGUAGUCCACGCCGUAAACGAUGUCUACUUGGAGGUUGUGGCCUUGAGCCGUGGCUUUCGGAGCUAACGCGUUAAGUAGACCGCCUGGGGAGUACGGUCGCAAGAUUAAAACUCAAAUGAAUUGACGGGGGCCCGCACAAGCGGUGGAGCAUGUGGUUUAAUUCGAUGCAACGCGAAGAACCUUACCUACUCUUGACAUCCUCAGAAGAGACUGGAGACAGUCUUGUGCCUUCGGGAACUGAGAGACAGGUGCUGCAUGGCUGUCGUCAGCUCGUGUUGUGAAAUGUUGGGUUAAGUCCCGCAACGAGCGCAACCCUUAUCCUUGUUUGCCAGCGAGUAAUGUCGGGAACUCCAGGGAGACUGCCGGUGAUAAACCGGAGGAAGGUGGGGACGACGUCAAGUCAUCAUGGCCCUUACGAGUAGGGCUACACACGUGCUACAAUGGCGCAUACAGAGGGCGGCCAACUUGCGAAAGUGAGCGAAUCCCAAAAAGUGCGUCGUAGUCCGGAUUGGAGUCUGCAACUCGACUCCAUGAAGUCGGAAUCGCUAGUAAUCGUAGAUCAGAAUGCUACGGUGAAUACGUUCCCGGGCCUUGUACACACCGCCCGUCACACCAUGGGAGUGGGCUGCAAAAGAAGUGGGUAGUUUAACCUUCGGGGGGACGCUCACCACUUUGUGGUUCAUGACUGGGGUGAAGUCGUAACAAGGUAGCGCUAGGGGAACCUGGCGCUGGAUCACCUCCUUAUACGAUGAU
RNAcentral lists this ribosomal RNA (1076 nucleotides) under Vibrio coralliilyticus. Its description in RNAcentral is "bacterial SSU rRNA". It matches the Rfam family "Bacterial small subunit ribosomal RNA", at positions 467 to 1533 of the family's 1533-position model. Lineage: Bacteria; Pseudomonadati; Pseudomonadota; Gammaproteobacteria; Vibrionales; Vibrionaceae. The record is from RNAcentral.